This 985-nucleotide ribosomal RNA is filed under the name Flavobacterium sp. RNAcentral's name for it is "bacterial SSU rRNA". It matches the Rfam family "Bacterial small subunit ribosomal RNA", at positions 466 to 1470 of the family's 1533-position model. The record is from RNAcentral. Lineage: Bacteria; Pseudomonadati; Bacteroidota; Flavobacteriia; Flavobacteriales; Flavobacteriaceae.
UGAUUGAGAGUACCGUAGAAAAGGAUCGGAGCAGUCCGGGCCAGCAGUAGCUGUAAUACGUAGUAUGCAAGCGUUGUCCGGAAUCAUUGGGCUUGAAAGUGUCUGUAGUCGGUUUGUAAGUCAGUGGUGAAAGCGCAUCGCUCAAUGGAGAACGGCCAUUGAUAGUGCUAGACUGAAUUAUUAGGACGUAAGUAGAAUAUGUAGUGUAGCGUAGAAAUGGUUAGAGCUUACAUGGAGUAGCAUCUGCGAUGUCAGGCUGAUACUAAUUGAUUGACGCUGAGGGACGAAAGCGUGGGUAGUGAACAGGUUGUGCUAGCCUUGUAGUACGCGCCGUAAGCGAUGGAUAGUAGCUGUUGGGUGCAAGUUCAGUGGCUACGCGAAAGUGAUAAGUAUCCCACCUGGGGAGUACGUUUGCAAGAAUGAAAAUCAAAGGAAUUGACGGGGGCCCGCACAAGCGGUGGAGCAUGUGGUUUAAUUCGAUGAUAACGCGAGGAACCUUACCAAGGCUUAAAUGUAGAUUGACCGGUUUGGAAACAGUCUUUUCGCAAGACAAUUUACAAGCAUGGUCAUGGUUGUCGUCAGCUCGUGCCGUGAGGUGUCAGUUUAAGUCCUAUAACGAGCGCAACCCUUGUUGUUCGUUGCCAAGGAGUGCAGUCUGAAACUCUAACAAGACUAACCGGGUAAAAUGAGAGGAAGGUGGGGAUGACGUCAAAUCAUCACGGCCCUUACGCCUUGGGCUACACAAUGGAUACAAUGGCCGGUACAGAGAGCAGCCGGUGGGUGACCUGGAGCGAAAUUAUAAAGCCGUUCACAGUCAGGAUGCGAGUCGGCAACUCGAAUCCGGGAAGCUGGAAAAUCUAGUAUUAGGAUAUCAGCCAGAAUCCGUUGAAUACGUUCCCGCACCUCGUACACACACGCCAUCAGACCAUGGACGCCGGGGGUCCGGAAGUCAACGACCGCAAGGAGCCGCUUUGGGUGUGGUCUG